GAUGAACGCUGGCGGCGUGCCUAAUACAUGCAAGUCGAACGCACAGCGAAAGGUGCUUGCACCUUUCAAGUGAGUGGCGAACGGGUGAGUAACACGUGGACAACCUGCCUCAAGGCUGGGGAUAACAUUUGGAAACAGAUGCUAAUACCGAAUAAAACUUAGUGUCGCAUGACACAAAGUUAAAAGGCGCUUUGGCGUCACCUAGAGAUGGAUCCGCGGUGCAUUAGUUAGUUGGUGGGGUAAAGGCCUACCAAGACAAUGAUGCAUAGCCGAGUUGAGAGACUGAUCGGCCACAUUGGGACUGAGACACGGCCCAAACUCCUACGGGAGGCUGCAGUAGGGAAUCUUCCACAAUGGGCGAAAGCCUGAUGGAGCAACGCCGCGUGUGUGAUGAAGGCUUUCGGGUCGUUAAGCACUGUUGUAUGGGAAGAACAGCUAGAAUAGGGAAUGAUUUUAGUUUGACGGUACCAUACCAGAAAGGGACGGCUAAAUACGUGCCAGCCGCCGCAGUAA
This 513-nucleotide ribosomal RNA is filed under the name uncultured bacterium. Its description in RNAcentral is "partial 16S ribosomal RNA". It matches the Rfam family "Bacterial small subunit ribosomal RNA", at positions 28 to 523 of the family's 1533-position model. The record is from RNAcentral.